AUUGUCAUGUGAUUGGAGGGAGAUAACAAACCUCAAGAAAGAAAAGGAGUCAGAAGACAUUUUUAACACGGCAUAACCACAGAUUAAUAAUGCAGGGAUUAAAAGUUUGAUCCUGCUUCCCACACCAUACUCUGGAAACUGUCCCUGAUAGAGAGCUAGCCUGAGAUCUGUGCAUGCCUUCAGACAUCAAAAUACGGUGCGUGAAACAAGGAACAGAGCACUCAGGAGUGAGCACAUACAUACCUGUGUUUGCCCAGCCACGGAAGAGACAGUCACAGGAUGGAAAGGAUAUUGGGGAGAAACAGGACAGGGUAAAAAAGGGUCCUGAGAGACCCAGGUCCUGCUCCAAGGAGACAAGCAAGCCACAAAGGUUUUCGGUGGGAAGAAAAAUGACAAAGAAAGAAACACAUCCUCAUGCACACCUAUACUGAUAUGAAGAGGAUAUGGGAACCUUUUCGUCUCAACCUCAGCUGUAGUUCCUCAAAAUUUGAAAAGAGCAGGUCCAUCAGUCUACUAUCACCUUUUUUUCCUAAUCUUUUCCCCUUUCCUUCUCCACUAUCUUCAACCACCGAGUUUAC
Molecule: long non-coding RNA, 578 nt
Organism: Calidris pugnax (ruff)
Lineage: Eukaryota; Metazoa; Chordata; Aves; Charadriiformes; Scolopacidae
Exons: 5
Source: RefSeq, a predicted model, not a curated record